RNAcentral lists this ribosomal RNA (375 nucleotides) under Methanobacteriota archaeon. Its description in RNAcentral is "bacterial SSU rRNA". It matches the Rfam family "Archaeal small subunit ribosomal RNA", at positions 1 to 378 of the family's 1478-position model. Lineage: Archaea; Methanobacteriati; Methanobacteriota. The record is from RNAcentral.
AAAUCCGGUUGAUCCUGCCGGAGGCUACCGCUAUUGGAGUUCGAUUAAGCCAUGCGAGUCGCGAGUCCUAGGGACUCGGCGUACCGCUCAGUAACACGUGGGUAACCUGCCCUAUGCAGGGGGAUAACCUCGGGAAACUGAGAAUAAUACCCCAUAGUUCACUACGCCUGGAACGGUGAGUGGAUGAAAGCUCCGGCGGCAUAGGAUGGGCCUGCGGCGUAUCAGGUUGUAGGGGGUGUAACGUACCCUCUAGCCCUCUACGCGUACGGGUGUUGGGAGACAUAGCCCGGAGAUGGAUUCUGAGACACGAAUCCAGACCCUACGGGGUGCAGCAGGCGCGAAAACUUGACAAUGCGAGAAAUCGUGAUCAGGGAA